Molecule: ribosomal RNA, 401 nt
Filed under: uncultured cyanobacterium
Lineage: Bacteria; Bacillati; Cyanobacteriota
Description: bacterial SSU rRNA
Rfam family: Bacterial small subunit ribosomal RNA
Source: RNAcentral
UUGGGUUAAGUCCCGCACGAGCGCAACCCUCGUCUUUAGUUGCCAGCAUUAAGUUGGGCACUCUGGAGAGACUGCCGGUGACAAACCGGAGGAAGGUGGGGAUGACGUCAAGUCAGCAUGCCCCUUACGUCUUGGGCUACACACGUACUACAAUGCUUCGGACAAAGGGUUGCAAGCGUGCGAACGCAAGCUAAUCCCAUAAACCGAGGCUCAGUUCAGAUUGCAGGCUGCAACUCGCCUGCAUGAAGGCGGAAUCGCUAGUAAUCGCAGGUCAGCAUACUGCGGUUGAAUACGUACCCGGGCCUUGUACACACCGCCCGUCACACCAUGGGAGUUGGCCACNCCCGAAGUCGNUACUCCAACCGUUCGCGGNNGAGGAUGCCGAAGGCAGGGCUGAUGAC